This 359-nucleotide unclassified non-coding RNA is filed under the name soil metagenome. Its description in RNAcentral is "partial contains 5.8S ribosomal RNA, internal transcribed spacer 2, and large subunit ribosomal RNA". The stretch from base 1 to 119 matches the Rfam family "5.8S ribosomal RNA", at positions 35 to 154 of the family's 154-position model. The record is from RNAcentral.
GAUGAAAACGUAGCGAAAUGCGAUAAGUAAUGUGAAUUGCAGAAUUCAGUGAAUCAUCGAAUCUUUGAACGCACAUUGCGCCCGCCAGUAUUCUGGCGGGCAUGCCUGUCCGAGCGUCAUUUCAACCCUCGGGCCCCCCUCUGCGGGCGGCCCGGCGUUGGGGCUCAGGCGCCGUCUCUGCUCGGCGCCUGUCCCCUAAAUGCAGUGGCGGCCUCGCCGCUGCCUCCUCCGCGUAGUAGCACAAACCUCGCGGCUGGAAGGCGGCGCGGCCACGCCGUAAAACCCCCCAACUUUACCAAGGUUGACCUCGGAUCAGGUAGGAAUACCCGCUGAACUUAAGCAUAUCAAUAAGCGGAGGA